GUGCUUGCUUCAGCAGCACAUAUACUAAAAUUGGGAUGAUACAGAGAUUAGCAUGGCCCCUGCACAAGUAUGACAUGGAAAUUCAUGAAGCAUUCCAUAUUAAA
This is a small nuclear RNA of Cervus hanglu yarkandensis (Yarkand deer), 104 nucleotides long. Lineage: Eukaryota; Metazoa; Chordata; Mammalia; Artiodactyla; Cervidae. The record is from Ensembl.